RNAcentral lists this transfer RNA (71 nucleotides) under Camelus dromedarius (Arabian camel). It matches the Rfam family "tRNA". From Rfam's summary of the family: Transfer RNA (tRNA) molecules are approximately 80 nucleotides in length. Lineage: Eukaryota; Metazoa; Chordata; Mammalia; Artiodactyla; Camelidae. The record is from Rfam by way of RNAcentral. RNAcentral also lists the same sequence under 1 other name.
GAGGGUAUAGCUCAGUUGCAGAGCAUGUGCUUAGCAUGCACGAGGUCCUGGGUUCAAUCCCAGUGCCUCUA